GAUGAACGCUGGCGGCGCGCCUAAUACAUGCAAGUCGAACGAUUAAAGCACCUUCGGGUGUGUAUAAAGUGGCGAACGGCUGAGUAACACGUGGGCAACCUGCCCCUUUCAUUGGGAUAGCCACGGGAAACCGUGGAUAAUACCGAAUACUUCGAGACUUCCGCAUGGAAGACUCGAGAAAGCUCCGGCGGAGAGGGAUGGGCCCGCGGCCUGUUAGCUUGUUGGUGGAGUAACGGCCUACCAAGGCAAUGAUGGGUAGCUGGGUUGAGAGACCGACCAGCCAGAUUGGGACUGAGACACGGCCCAGACUCCUACGGGAGGCAGCAGUGGGGAAUCUUGCACAAUGGGCGAAAGCCUGAUGCAGCGACGCCGCGUGCGGGAUGAAGGCCUUCGGGUUGUAAACCGCUUUCAGCAGGGACGAGGCGAAAGUGACGGUACCUGCAGAAGAAGCCCCGGCUAACUACGUG
Molecule: ribosomal RNA, 467 nt
Filed under: uncultured bacterium
Lineage: Bacteria
Description: partial 16S ribosomal RNA
Rfam family: Bacterial small subunit ribosomal RNA
Source: RNAcentral